AGGGAUAGGGUCGGUUCGGCCGGAUUUCACACAGGUGUUGCAUGGCUGUCGUCAGCUCGUGUCGUGAGAUGUUGGGUUAAGUCCCGCAACGAGCGCAACCCUCAUCCUUAGUUACCAUCAGGUAAUGCUGGGGACUUUAAGGAAACUGCCAGUGAUAAACUGGAGGAAGGUGGGGAUGAUGUCAAGUCAUCAUGGCCCUUAUGGAGUGGGCUACACACGUGCUACAAUGGUGGCUACAAUGGGCUGCAAAGUCGCGAGGCUAAGCUAAUCCCUUAAAAGCCAUCUCAGUUCGGAUUGUACUCUGCAACUCGAGUACAUGAAGUUGGAAUCGCUAGUAAUCGUGGAUCAGCAUGCCACGGUGAAUACGUUCUCGGGUCUUGUACACACUGCCCGUCACGCCAUGGGAAUUGGU
This 412-nucleotide ribosomal RNA is filed under the name Wolbachia sp. RNAcentral's name for it is "bacterial SSU rRNA". It matches the Rfam family "Bacterial small subunit ribosomal RNA", at positions 1005 to 1415 of the family's 1533-position model. The record is from RNAcentral. Lineage: Bacteria; Pseudomonadati; Pseudomonadota; Alphaproteobacteria; Rickettsiales; Anaplasmataceae.